UGAAGAGUAGAUCUGACUCUUGGUUAUUGAACCCUCCCAGAACCCGGCGCUGUCUGUACUAGUGACUGACUAAAUAAAGAUGAAACGGACGGGGACACUGAACCGCAGGCUGCAGAGAUUAGGCAGAGGAAAAGAGACUCAGACUUCCUUGACACGCUGAGGGACAUGGACGAUGCUAACCCGGGCCGUCCUACAGCAAGGACAGGAGCAGCGGGAACAGUAUAUGCAGCUGUUACUUGAGAGCCAGGCCACAGAAAGAGUGAUGAGGAUGCGAGAGAAGGCAUUCCUCGAGUCUGAGGCGGAGGAAACCAGGCGGAUCCAGAGAGAGUUUCAAGGCGGGUUCCUGUCUGUUUUUGGCCAGCUUGUCGAGACGCUGAGCCAACGAA
Long non-coding RNA from Esox lucius (northern pike), 386 nucleotides. RefSeq lists it as uncharacterized. The record is from RefSeq and is a predicted model, not a curated record. NCBI's taxonomy places the organism in Eukaryota, Metazoa, Chordata, Actinopteri, Esociformes, Esocidae. The transcript is spliced from 3 exons.